GUGGUUGGAGGGAGGACUGGACUCUGAUGAGGGGUGUUGCGAGGAGGAAUAAGGAAUUGUGGAGGAAGAUGAGAAGCUGCCAGAGGGUAAUUGGUUUUCCCAGAAGUUCUUAAAUUUGGGAGCUGUCUUGCCGCAAGCCAUUGAGACUGGAAAUUCUUGGAGUUGGUAUUGUUUUUGUAAAUUGACUAAUAGAGAGUUAGGGAAGCCUGGAGACUUGUUGGGGGAAGAGACCUGGGAAAUUAAGUUUCUUGCGGAGUACGGUGGGGAUUGCAGCUGCUGAGCAGGGAUUCUGGAAAGCAUUGAGUACCUGAGCCCCCAGCAUGGCGGGCCUAAAGCGGCGGGCAAGCCAGGUGUGGCCAGAAGAGCAUGGUGCUGCAGCUGCUGCGCAUCAUCACUCGCCACGACCUGCUGCCCUACGUCACCCUCAAGAGGAGACGGGCUGGUGAGUGUGCCCUGAUCUUGUAGACAAGUAUCUGGAGGAGACAUCAAUUCGCUAUGUGACCCCCAGAGCCCUCAGUGAUCCAGAACCAAGGCCUCCCCAGCCCUCUAAAACAGUGCCUCCCCACUAUCCUGUGGUGUGUUGCCCCACUUCGGGUCCUCAGAUGUGUAGCAAGCGGCCAGCCCGAGGGAGAGCCACACUUGGGAGCCAGCGAAAACGCCGGAAGUCAGUGACACCAGAUCCCAAGGAAAAGCAGACAUGUGACAUCAGACUGCGGGUUCGGGCUGAAUACUGCCAGCAUGAGACUGCUCUGCAGGGCAAUGUCUUCUCUAACAAGCAGGACCCACUUGAGCGCCAGUUUGAGCGCUUUAACCAGGCCAACACCAUCCUCAAGUCCCGGGACCUGGGCUCCAUCAUCUGUGACAUCAAGUUCUCU
Molecule: small RNA, 875 nt
Filed under: Pan troglodytes (chimpanzee)
Lineage: Eukaryota; Metazoa; Chordata; Mammalia; Primates; Hominidae
Description: processed transcript
Source: RNAcentral